RNAcentral lists this ribosomal RNA (402 nucleotides) under uncultured bacterium. RNAcentral's name for it is "bacterial SSU rRNA". It matches the Rfam family "Bacterial small subunit ribosomal RNA", at positions 355 to 775 of the family's 1533-position model. The record is from RNAcentral.
UGGGGAAUAUUGGACAAUGGGCGCAAGCCUGAUCCAGCCAUGCCGCGUGAGUGAUGAAGGCCUUAGGGUUGUAAAGCUCUUUCGUCAGGGAAGAUAAUGACGGUACCUGAAGAAGAAGCCCCGGCUAACUUCGUGCCAGCAGCCGCGGUAAUACGAAGGGGCUAGCGUUGCUCGGAAUCACUGGGCGUAAAGCGCACGUAGGCGGCUUUCUAAGUCAGGGGUGAAAUCCCGGGGCUCAGCCCCGGAACUGCCUUUGAUACUGGAGAGCUUGAGUUCGGGAGAGGUGAGUGGAACUGCGAGUGUAGAGGUGAAAUUCGUAGAUAUUCGCAAGAACACCAGUGGCGAAGGCGGCUCACUGGCCCGAUACUGACGCUGAGGUGCGAAAGCGUGGGGAGCAAACAG